This 397-nucleotide ribosomal RNA is filed under the name uncultured bacterium. RNAcentral describes it as "partial 16S ribosomal RNA". It matches the Rfam family "Bacterial small subunit ribosomal RNA", at positions 523 to 918 of the family's 1533-position model. The record is from RNAcentral.
AUACGUAGGGGGCGAGCGUUGUCCGGAAUGAUUGGGCGUAAAGGGCGCGUAGGCGGCCCGGUAAGUCUGGAGUGAAAGUCCUGUUUUUAAGAUGGGAAUUGCUUUGGAUACUGUCGGGCUUGAGUGCAGGAGAGGUAAGUGGAAUUCCCAGUGUAGCGGUGAAAUGCGUAGAGAUUGGGAGGAACACCAGUGGCGAAGGCGACUUACUGGACUGUAACUGACGCUGAGGCGCGAAAGUGUGGGGAGCAAACAGGAUUAGAUACCCUGGUAGUCCACACUGUAAACGAUGAAUGCUAGGUGUAGGGGGUAUCGACCCCUUCUGUGCCGCAGUCAACACAAUAAGCAUUCCGCCUGGGGAGUACGGCCGCAAGGCUUAAACUCAAAGGAAUUGACGGGG